This 674-nucleotide ribosomal RNA is filed under the name Paenibacillus sp. Y1220_3. RNAcentral describes it as "bacterial SSU rRNA". It matches the Rfam family "Bacterial small subunit ribosomal RNA", at positions 64 to 718 of the family's 1533-position model. Lineage: Bacteria; Bacillati; Bacillota; Bacilli; Caryophanales; Paenibacillaceae. The record is from RNAcentral.
GAGCGGACUUGAAGGAGUGCUUGCACUCCUGAGAGUUAGCGGCGGACGGGUGAGUAACACGUAGGCAACCUGCCCUCAAGACUGGGAUAACUACCGGAAACGGUAGCUAAUACCGGAUAAUUUAUUACAUAGCAUUAUGUGAUAAUGAAAGACGGAGCAAUCUGUCACUUGGGGAUGGGCCUGCGGCGCAUUAGCUAGUUGGUGGGGUAACGGCCCACCAAGGCGACGAUGCGUAGCCGACCUGAGAGGGUGAACGGCCACACUGGGACUGAGACACGGCCCAGACUCCUACGGGAGGCAGCAGUAGGGAAUCUUCCGCAAUGGGCGAAAGCCUGACGGAGCAACGCCGCGUGAGUGAUGAAGGUUUUCGGAUCGUAAAGCUCUGUUGCCAAGGAAGAACGUCUCAUAGAGUAACUGCUAUGAGAGUGACGGUACUUGAGAAGAAAGCCCCGGCUAACUACGUGCCAGCAGCCGCGGUAAUACGUAGGGGGCAAGCGUUGUCCGGAAUUAUUGGGCGUAAAGCGCGCGCAGGCGGUUCUUUAAGUCUGGUGUUUAAACCUGGGGCUCAACUUCAGGUCGCACUGGAAACUGGGGAACUUGAGUGCAGAAGAGGAGAGUGGAAUUCCACGUGUAGCGGUGAAAUGCGUAGAUAUGUGGAGGAACACCAGUGGCGA